RNAcentral lists this ribosomal RNA (116 nucleotides) under uncultured eukaryote. RNAcentral's name for it is "partial 18S ribosomal RNA". It matches the Rfam family "Eukaryotic small subunit ribosomal RNA", at positions 1299 to 1458 of the family's 1831-position model. The record is from RNAcentral.
UGGUGGAGUGAUUUGUCAAGUUAAUUCUGGUAACGAGCGAGACCAUCGCUGCAUGCCCUUCGGUGGGUAUGCAGGACUCAUUAGGUGCAACUAUUGGGAAGCGGGUGGCAAUAACA